Aphis gossypii (cotton aphid) is the source of this 545-nucleotide long non-coding RNA. RefSeq lists it as uncharacterized. The transcript is spliced from 2 exons. NCBI's taxonomy places the organism in Eukaryota, Metazoa, Arthropoda, Insecta, Hemiptera, Aphididae. The record is from RefSeq and is a predicted model, not a curated record.
UGUACCUAUACAAGUUAACGACCAGUUUAAAAUGUUAUUUUAAUAUCAUUUAAAAAUUAGUUUGAAGAAAAUAUUUUUAUCUAUUUCCUGGAACUCAAAAAAAUACGUUUGCACUCUGAAAUUAGUAAGGUGUCCAAGGCGUUUACUCAGAUGACACAUAUGUUUUAUAAUUUAUAAUAAUAGGUAUUAUGUUUAUUGCAUUGUACGCGAGUAUAAUGCGUCGUGUGUGUGUGAUAGAGCCAUUAGAUCAUCAAGAGAGCCGCCUUUGGUGGAAAAUGAUUGAUGAACGUGUAGGUAUACGCUCGCGUUUUACCAUUUAUAUGGUCUAUCGUCACGAAGAUCAUCGUCCGACGAAUUCGCAAACGUCUGAAAAUCUGUCAUCCAGUUGGUGUUAUAUCUAUACGACAACCAGCAAAAUGACUUUGCAUCGUUUUGAAUGACUUUUGCGAGUAUACCCAUUACUCACCUACAUAAUAUACACACAUGCUAUGGUUAUAAUACGACGUGGUUUUUGGCAAUUAAACGCGCUGUAAACAUUGGUAUAG